This 712-nucleotide long non-coding RNA is filed under the name Aplysia californica (California sea hare). RNAcentral's name for it is "uncharacterized LOC101860482, transcript variant X2". The record is from RNAcentral. Lineage: Eukaryota; Metazoa; Mollusca; Gastropoda; Aplysiida; Aplysiidae.
UUACAGCUUAAAAUAUCGAUAAUCAAUUGGCCAAUUUUUCUGUAUAUAAGAACGAGAUAUCGUUGACUAAAGUGAUUUCUCUCCUCGAGCUGAACAGGAAAACUCUGAAAAUGAAAGCAGUCAUUUUUGUCCUUGUGCUGGUGGGGUGCAUCGUGCUGUCCACGCAGUGGUCUCCUAACCAAUGUUUCUACAAUGGACAAACUUACCAACCUGAAGAGACGACGACCAUGAAUGGAGUUACAUACGUAUGUAAAGGAUAUGAUAGAUGGGAACCUAUUAUCGGACAACCACCAGGAAAUGCACCCGCCCCUCCACCGCCACCACCGGGAUAUAAAUAAAUGCAUUGUAUUUACCGUCUGGAAGAUUAACUAUACCAUCAUUCAUUCGGCCUUUGACAUUAAGACAUAGCCUGACUGAGACAUUGAGCAAUUCUGAUACUUGCUGCACAAGAAAGAUGGAGGAGGAGGAGGGGGGGGGCGCUUAUACAAUAUUUUGAAAUGAACUUUUUGUCCUGAACAGGAUUAUCCUCCCCCCCCCCCCUCCCCUAGACCCGACAGAAGAAUGAUAGUAGGCGGUGGAUUAAAGGAUAUGCUUCACAAAUCAGCGGGUCUAAGUUAUAAGAUUGGUGUAAUUUUGAAAUUAAAUAAACUGUUUUGAGUUAAUUUCUUUUCAGCAGCUGCUUUGACAUAAACGCAAAUAAAAGAAUUCAUGU